RNAcentral lists this long non-coding RNA (826 nucleotides) under Zonotrichia albicollis (white-throated sparrow). RNAcentral describes it as "lncRNA (ENSZALG00000005407.1)". Lineage: Eukaryota; Metazoa; Chordata; Aves; Passeriformes; Passerellidae. The record is from RNAcentral.
UGGGGUCAUUUCUGGGGAUUUUGGGGUUGGAUUUUGAGGCUAUUUGGGGAGAAAUCUUGGGACCAUUUGGGGUUGGAUUUUGAGGCUGUUUGGGGAAGGAUUUUGGGACCAUUUGGGGUUGGAUUUUGGGGCAAUUUAUGGGAAUUUUGAGGCUGUUUGGGGUUGGAUUUUGGGGCCAUUUAUGGGAAUUUUGGGACCACUUGGGGUUGGAUUUUGGGGUCGUUUACGGGAAUUUUGGGGCAAUUUGUGGGGAUUUUGGGGAGGGAUUUUGAGGCCAUUUGGGGUUGGAUUUUGGGGCAAUUUAUGGGAAUUUUGAGGCUGUUUGGGGGUUGGAUUUUGGGGUUGUUUGUGGGGAUUUUGGGGUUAUUUAGGGAGAAAUCUUGGGGUCAUUUGAGGUUGGAUUUUGGGGUUGUUUGAGGAAGGAUUUUGGGGCCAUUUCUGGGCAUUUUGGGGAGGGAUUUUGGGGUUAUUUGGGGUUGGAUUUGGGGGAGGGAUUUUGGGAUCAUUUGUGGGGAUUUUUGGGAGGGAUUUUGGGGUUAUUUUGGGGGAUUUUAGGGUUGGAUUUUGGGGCUGUUUUGGGAAGGAUUUUGGGGCCAUUUCUGGGCAUUUUGGGGAGAAAUUUUGGGGGAUUUUUAACCUGUUUGCAGGGAUUUUAGGGCAUUGAGAUUUCAAGGGAAGGGAUUUGGGCUUGAGGGAUUUGGGGAGGGGUCCCGGGGGUCCUCACCUCGGCCGAUGACCAGCCCACACUUGUGGGUGGGGAUUUUGGGGCCAUUGAUGGGGAUUUUUGGGGUCAUUUAUGGGGAUUUUGGGGAGGGAUUUUGGGGCC